GCGGAAAUAGCUCAGUUGGGAGAGCAUAACCUUGCCAAGGUUAGGGUCGCGAGUUCGAGUCUCGUUUUCCGCU
Molecule: transfer RNA, 73 nt
Filed under: Bacteroides fragilis
Lineage: Bacteria; Pseudomonadati; Bacteroidota; Bacteroidia; Bacteroidales; Bacteroidaceae
Description: tRNA-Gly
Rfam family: tRNA
About the family: Transfer RNA (tRNA) molecules are approximately 80 nucleotides in length. Their secondary structure includes four short double-helical elements and three loops (D, anti-codon, and T loops). Further hydrogen bonds mediate the characteristic L-shaped molecular structure. tRNAs have two regions of fundamental functional importance: the anti-codon, which is responsible for specific mRNA codon recognition, and the 3' end, to which the tRNAs corresponding amino acid is attached (by aminoacyl-tRNA synthetases). tRNAs cope with the degeneracy of the genetic code in two manners: having more than one tRNA (with a specific anti-codon) for a particular amino acid; and 'wobble' base-pairing, i.e. permitting non-standard base-pairing at the 3rd anti-codon position.
Source: RNAcentral